Molecule: long non-coding RNA, 1001 nt
Organism: Nicotiana attenuata
Lineage: Eukaryota; Viridiplantae; Streptophyta; Magnoliopsida; Solanales; Solanaceae
Exons: 5
Source: RefSeq, a predicted model, not a curated record
UUUUCCUCCUUUAUUCUUGGUUCUUCCUUUCUUUUGGGUCAUUAUUGUUAGCUUUGAAAUUUAAUGGUUCCUGAUAUGUUUUUCUCUCAUUUUUUCAUCUUUUUUCCCCUUUGUAUUUUUUGGCUAAUUCUGAAGUUUAGUGGCUAUUGCAGGGCUGUUAUAUGCUGCGAUACUUAAUAACUCUUCAUUUUAUCACCCAGAUACUAAAUUUUAUCACCCUGAUAGUAAGAUAAGUUAAACUGGAGAAGGAGCGCUGACAGGCAUAGAGACGAAGAGGAACGGAGAAGGAGAAACAUCAGGAAUACACAUCCGUAAUCUAUAUAUGUAGUCCAGCUGAAUCCACCUUUCCAGAAAAUCUUCAAAAAUUCAAGGUGGUUUGCCUAUGAUGACGUCCACACUCUAGAGGAGAUAUAUUAUCUAUGUGAGAGGAUGCUCCUGUACCGACGUGCAUCUCACAGUUAGAGGGUGAGUCCGAAACUUAAAUAGUGCCCUUUUGGGCACAAAAUACCUUUCUACUAUUAAAAAAAAGUUACAUAAGUACAUAAAAUGCAGUAUAAUACUACGUUUCACUUUAACGGAAAGUUAGCCGUUAAAGUUAAACGCAGUACUAUACUGUGUAUUAUUUAAAAAAUAAUUUUUUUUAGGAAAACUCAGUACAAAACUGCGUUUCCCUUAAAAGCAUUAUAUUGUACUAUGUUUUCCUUUAAUAAAAUAUAGGGCCCCUUCUUCUUCCCCAAGAUAACGACAGUCACUCCUCCAUUUUUAAAAAACUCCCCACUCACUGUUGGACCCCCCCCCCCUCCCGAAAUUAAAAAAAAAAUUUGGGCCCCAUCCGUCACCCAAAAAGCGAAGAGUGUAGGUCCCGCACACAUCACAAGCCUUGGAUUCCUUCUUUCGGGUUCAAAAAUUCGAUUUGGAUCUUUUUAAAAAAACUUAAAUCGAGGUAUUUCGAUUUUGUUUAUGUCAAAACUCGUAGAGUAUACGCAUAUUUGUUUUGUUGA